AGAUUGAACGCUGGCGGCAGGCCUAACACAUGCAAGUCGAGCGGCAGCACGGGUACUUGUACCUGGUGGCGAGCGGCGGACGGGUGAGUAAUGCCUAGGAUCUGCCUGGUAGUGGGGGAUAACGCUCGGAAACGGCGCUAAUACCGCAUACGUCCUACGGGAGAAAGCGAGGGGACCUUCGGGCCUUGCGCUAUCAGAUGAGCCUAGGUCGGAUUAGCUAGUUGGUGAGGUAAUGGCUCACCAAGGCGACGAUCCGUAACUGGUCUGAGAGGAUGAUCAGUCACACGGAACUGACGACGACGGUCCAGACCGUCCGUAAGGGACGGCAGGCAGGUAGGGGAAUACGUUGGAACAAGUCGGGACGAAAAGCCGUAGACGUCCGAAG
RNAcentral lists this ribosomal RNA (385 nucleotides) under uncultured soil bacterium. Its description in RNAcentral is "bacterial SSU rRNA". It matches the Rfam family "Bacterial small subunit ribosomal RNA", at positions 26 to 391 of the family's 1533-position model. The record is from RNAcentral.